UUCGCAAUGCCCGAAAGGGUGACGAAGCGACGCCGCGUGCGGGAAGAAGGCCUUCGGGUUGUAAACCGCUGUCGGGAGUUAGGAAAUGCAAGGAUGUUAAUAGCGUCUUUGCUUGACUAAGGCUCCGGAGGAAGCCACGGCUAACUCUGUGCCAGCAGCCGCGGUAAUACAGAGGCGGCAAGCGUUGUUCGGAAUUAUUGGGCGUAAAGAGCACGUAGGCGGCCGUGUAAGUCGGUUGUGAAAGCCUUCCGCUCAACGGGAGAACGGCAUCCGAUACUGCAUGGCUCGAGUGCGGGAGGGGAGAGUGGAACUUCUGGUGGAGCGGUGAAAUGCGUAGAUAUCAGAAGGAACACCGGCGGCGAAGGCGACUCUUUGGCCCGUAACUGACGCUGAGUGUGCGAAAGCUAGGGGAGCAAACGGGAUUAGAUACCCCGGUAGUCCUAGCCGUAAACGAUGGGCACUAAGUAGAGGGGUUUU
This 477-nucleotide ribosomal RNA is filed under the name uncultured bacterium. Its description in RNAcentral is "bacterial SSU rRNA". It matches the Rfam family "Bacterial small subunit ribosomal RNA", at positions 365 to 832 of the family's 1533-position model. The record is from RNAcentral.